RNAcentral lists this non-coding RNA (253 nucleotides) under uncultured bacterium. Its description in RNAcentral is "partial 16S ribosomal RNA". It matches the Rfam family "Bacterial small subunit ribosomal RNA", at positions 524 to 776 of the family's 1533-position model. The record is from RNAcentral. RNAcentral also lists the same sequence under 3 other names.
UACGGAGGGUGCAAGCGUUAAUCGGAAUUACUGGGCGUAAAGCGCACGCAGGCGGUCUGUCAAGUCGGAUGUGAAAUCCCCGGGCUCAACCUGGGAACUGCAUCCGAAACUGGCAGGCUAGAGUCUUGUAGAGGGGGGUAGAAUUCCAGGUGUAGCGGUGAAAUGCGUAGAGAUCUGGAGGAAUACCGGUGGCGAAGGCGGCCCCCUGGACAAAGACUGACGCUCAGGUGCGAAAGCGUGGGGAGCAAACAGG